GCUCAGCCCUCGCUCUGGGGCCCGGGCAGCCUGAAAGGUGUGGCGCGCAGGCGCAGAUGCCGCAGAGGGCAGCAGCUGAAGAAGGGAUUAGUGACUUGUCCAAGAUAAUAGAGCAAGAAUGUUUGGUGCCUGAAGAAGUGGAAUAGAGGGGCCCUGUUCUCCAUUUCAGAGAAUACACAAGUCUGCUAAACAAAUGGCAGGAGAAACAUUUUUGGAUUGGCUGUUAAGCUGGAAACUGAAAUAAAACUACCUGAAGUGUCUCACAAGACUUUCCAACAUUGAGAACUGAAUCAAUUGAAAGAUAAAGUCAAUCUAUCCUUGCUGUAUUUCUAAGUGAACGUCUUACUUGAUGGAUAAUCUAGCUUAAUCAUUGAAUGAGGAGACCAUUUGAAUGCUAAUGCCUUUAGUGGGUUGGUGAUGCUACUGUCUGGAGGCCCUUUGACCUAGAUACCCUAACAAGAGUGAUUACAAAGUAACAGAUGGAGUCUAAGAGAACAGAGACAUAGAAUGACCUCUGCCUGAACCCAGGUACUAGAAUCCUCUCUUUUGUGCUUAUGUAUUGUACAACACCAGAAUACUAAACCACUGGAUGGGACCUUUGAUGCAAGAUCCAUUCAGGACUCAUUUCCAGACAAAGGACUCAAUUUCACAUAAAAGAUGGAUGCAGAGACAGCAGAUCAUACCACAUUUUCCUCACUGAUCAUUGUCCUAGAACCCUUGGCAAGUCAAGUAACUGGUGAAUUAUUAUCAACACAUUCCGAGAAGGAACUUAUUCUGUGACUUAAGGAGAAAUCUAGGAGGUCCCUUUUUCUCUAUAAUAGCUCACAAACUGAUCUGAAGAUCCUGGCCUCUGCAUGAGACUUGACCUACAGGCCCAGAACAAGACAUGCUUCCAGCUCCUUCCCAUUCUAGAAGUACCUUCAACAAAUGUGAAGUGCUCAUAUCUUUAUGCUUCAUUUCUUCAUUAUAUUUCCGG
Phascolarctos cinereus (koala) is the source of this 976-nucleotide non-coding RNA. Lineage: Eukaryota; Metazoa; Chordata; Mammalia; Diprotodontia; Phascolarctidae. The record is from RefSeq and is a predicted model, not a curated record.